GUGUCUCAAAGGUUGGAAGGACAGCUGCUGCUGCUUACAUCGUUGUGGUUAAGGUUGGGCACACCCUCAGCUUUUGUUGUUUUUGUUUUUUGUUUGAGUGUUUGGCCUACAUAUAUGUCUGUGCUCCACAUGCAUGGAUGGUACCCGCAGAAGUCAGAAGAGGAGCAUGAGGAGCAAGACGAGCAUGUAGCAUGAGGAGGUUCUGGAAUACAAGCUGAGGCAGGAAAGAACACAGGAACCCCAGCAUGUUAUGGGUCGUUCCAGUUCAGUGGUCCUGAUCAGAAACAUCUGAGGCCAGGGGUCUGCUCACCAGAUCCGAACUCGGCGGCAGGAUCCAACACACCCAGACACUGCCAAGGCCCUGGUAACAGUGCCAUCUCCAUCCACGACAAGAGGA
Molecule: non-coding RNA, 397 nt
Organism: Cricetulus griseus (Chinese hamster)
Lineage: Eukaryota; Metazoa; Chordata; Mammalia; Rodentia; Cricetidae
Source: RefSeq, a predicted model, not a curated record